GAUGAACGCUGGCGGCGUGCCUAAUACAUGCAAGUCGAGCGAACAGACGAGGAGCUUGCUCCUCUGACGUUAGCGGCGGACGGGUGAGUAACACGUGGAUAACCUACCUAUAAGACUGGGAUAACUUCGGGAAACCGGAGCUAAUACCGGAUAAUAUAUUGAACCGCAUGGUUCAAUAGUGAAAGACGGUUUUGCUGUCACUUAUAGAUGGAUCCGCGCCGCAUUAGCUAGUUGGUAAGGUAACGGCUUACCAAGGGGACGAUGCGUAGCCGACCUGAGAGGGUGAUCGGCCACACGGGAACUGAGACACGGUCCAGACUCCUACGGGAGGCAGCAGUAGGGAAUCUUCCGCAAUGGGCGAAAGCCUGACGGAGCAACGCCGCGUGAGUGAUGAAGGUCUUCGGAUCGUAAAACUCUGUUAUUAGGGAAGAACAAAUGUGUAAGUAACUAUGCACGUCUUGACGGUACCUAAUCAGAAAGCCACGGCUAACUACGUG
Molecule: ribosomal RNA, 497 nt
Filed under: uncultured bacterium
Lineage: Bacteria
Description: partial 16S ribosomal RNA
Rfam family: Bacterial small subunit ribosomal RNA
Source: RNAcentral